ACUUAAAUUGAAGAGUUUGAUCAUGGCUCAGAUUGAACGCUGGCGGCAGGCCUAACACAUGCAAGUCGAGCGGUAGCACAGAGAGCUUGCUCUCGGGUGACGAGCGGCGGACGGGUGAGUAAUGUCUGGGAAACUGCCUGAUGGAGGGGGAUAACUACUGGAAACGGUAGCUAAUACCGCAUAACGUCGCAAGACCAAAGUGGGGGACCUUCGGGCCUCAUGCCAUCAGAUGUGCCCAGAUGGGAUUAGCUAGUAGGUGGGGUAACG
Molecule: ribosomal RNA, 267 nt
Filed under: Klebsiella pneumoniae
Lineage: Bacteria; Pseudomonadati; Pseudomonadota; Gammaproteobacteria; Enterobacterales; Enterobacteriaceae
Description: partial 16S ribosomal RNA
Rfam family: Bacterial small subunit ribosomal RNA
Source: RNAcentral